This is a ribosomal RNA of Haliotis rufescens (red abalone), 119 nucleotides long. The record is from RefSeq and is a predicted model, not a curated record. Lineage: Eukaryota; Metazoa; Mollusca; Gastropoda; Lepetellida; Haliotidae.
GUCUACGGCCACACCACUGUGAAAGCACCGCUUCUCGUCCGCUCAGCGAAGUUAAGCACAGUCGGGCCGGGAUAGUACUUGGAUGGGUGACCGCCUGGGAACUCCCGGUGCCGUAAACG